GGUGAGAUUCCCGAGCGGUCAAAGGGAGCAGACUGUAACUCUGCCACGUAAGUUUCGAAGGUUCGAAUCCUUCUCUCACCACCA
RNAcentral lists this transfer RNA (84 nucleotides) under Acinetobacter sp. ANC 4558. RNAcentral's name for it is "tRNA-Tyr". It matches the Rfam family "tRNA". Rfam says of the family: Transfer RNA (tRNA) molecules are approximately 80 nucleotides in length. Their secondary structure includes four short double-helical elements and three loops (D, anti-codon, and T loops). Lineage: Bacteria; Pseudomonadati; Pseudomonadota; Gammaproteobacteria; Moraxellales; Moraxellaceae. The record is from RNAcentral.